RNAcentral lists this ribosomal RNA (490 nucleotides) under uncultured bacterium. Its description in RNAcentral is "bacterial SSU rRNA". It matches the Rfam family "Bacterial small subunit ribosomal RNA", at positions 365 to 846 of the family's 1533-position model. The record is from RNAcentral.
UGGACAAUGGGGGCAACCCUGAUCCAGCCAUGCCGCGUGUGUGAAGAAGGCCUUCGGGUUGUAAAGCACUUUCGGACGGAACGAAAUCGCGCGGGUUAAUAUCUCGCGUGGAUGACGGUACCGUAAGAAGAAGCACCGGCUAACUACGUGCCAGCAGCCGCGGUAAUACGUAGGGUGCGAGCGUUAAUCGGAAUUACUGGGCGUAAAGUGUGCGCAGGCGGCCGCGCAAGUCGAGUGUGAAAGCCCCGAGCUUAACUUGGGAAUUGCGCUCGAAACUACGUGGCUGGAGUGUGGCAGAGGAAGGUGGAAUUCCAGGUGUAGCGGUGAAAUGCGUAGAGAUCUGGAGGAACACCGAUGGCGAAGGCAGCCUUCUGGGCCAACACUGACGCUCAUGCACGAAAGCGUGGGGAGCAAACAGGAUUAGAUACCCUGGUAGUCCACGCCCUAAACGAUGAUGACUAGUUGUUGGAGGAGUUAAAUCCUUUAGUAA